This is a long non-coding RNA of Dreissena polymorpha, 1590 nucleotides long. RefSeq lists it as uncharacterized. NCBI's taxonomy places the organism in Eukaryota, Metazoa, Mollusca, Bivalvia, Myida, Dreissenidae. The transcript has 2 exons. The record is from RefSeq and is a predicted model, not a curated record.
GGGUUUUGUGGAAUACUUACUGAACUAAUAUACGUCUGUUCAAUGAAUUAAUAGUUAUGGUACAAUAUGAUACUCAGUGUUAAAAAACAUGUGUAAUAAAAAUAUAAUGGCAUUUAUUUGAAAUCAUAAAAUUUAGUUUUCCAUACAAUGCUUACAGUUUUGCAAUUGCGACGAUAAAGGAAAUUUUCUACUCAAAAAAAUGUCUGUUAAAGACAUGUGUAUAUUGUAGCAAUUAUAUUGUACUUGUAUUUAUAUUAUACAUGAUAAUAAUUGACUUAUGGCUGAUGAUAGCGGCAGUUUACUAUUUGUGUAACAGUUUGACCAUAUUUCCUUGAACAUGUGAUUGUUUAUAAUGAACUGUAAUUGAAUGCAUGAAACAUUGUUGUUCUGUUGCUUAACAGCUGAAAAUAGCUUGAUGGUUGUUAAUUGUGUGAAAUGUUUCAAAUUAAUCAUAUUGAUACAUAGAAAAUAAAAUUACAUUUUGCGUUAAUUUAAAUGCAUAUCAAACAAUUGUUACCAUACAAGCAUAUUUGCAUUGAACUUAAUUGAUACUUUGAGAUGCAUUUUUUACAUUAAUGUGUAAAUAUUUUCAUCUUUUCCAAAUGAACAUUUUGCAUUUGUAAAUAUAGGGUUUAUAUAAACUUUAUAGAAACUUAUUAAAUGCUUUAUAUAAAUUGAUUGUGUACCUCAUAUUGAUUAAAAACUCUCUUAUUUAUUGCACAGUUGUGUGUGCAUAUGUCUGACUUAUGUCUUCAUAGUCCUUAAAGUUAAAUUACUGUAAAUAGUAUUUUAUAAUAAUGUUAAAAUAUUUAUCUAAACUAUAUACAGGUUAUCUGUUAAAUUAAGUUUCAUACAUUUGCAUUGUCUAGCUAAUUAAAGCGGAGUGUUUAUAUUCUUGCCUACAUGCAGUGUAUGGUUUAGACAAAGCACAUUACACAACUCAUGUUGUUUUAUCCAUCAUUACUAACCAGUGUUAAGUCCGUAGAGGUUAAAGUAUACUAAAUAUUUCGGUUGUGCAAUGCUAUGCUCUCUAAAUAAAUCAACACCAUUUAUUGAUUUUCUAUGUGGGCACCUAAAUUCCUAUGACUUUAUUUGUGAAUAUUUAUUUGAAUGUGCGGUAGGGAAAACAUUGUUUGCUUGAAUGUUAGAAACUUAAGGUUGACAUCUUGAAAGAUGGCAGUAAACAUUUAACUGCAGAGUAGCUGGGGAAAAGAUUGCUGUUAAACAAUGUAAGACAGAACUCCACGCAAGAUAUGUCAUGCAUGCGAUAUGCAUGAAUUAUCUUUUUAAAAUAAUUUGGAUCUGAAUUAUCUUUAAGAAAUAGUAUGGUUAUGAGGGUCUCUAUGUGCAAAAUGUUGCAUUUAUUUAGUGUACAAGUUAUUGCUUAAACAUUGAAUUUGUUAUGGAAAUAAUAUAGUUUAUGUGACUUAAAGAGAUUUACAUGUUUAUGUUAGUGAUGUGUUUUUGCUGAUCCAAGUCUGUUCCUGCACACUAUUUAAAGUAGAUAACUACAAGUUAUCUCAUUUAAAUGGGAAAAGUAUUGUACUGUGAAAAAGUGUUGUGAAUUCAAAUAAAAAUACUAUGAACCGU